CCUACGGGGGGCUGCAGUGGGGAAUAUUGGACAAUGGGGGGAACCCUGAUCCAGCCAUGCCGCGUGUGUGAAGAAGGCCCUCGGGUUGUAAAGCACUUUCAGUGAGGAAGAACGCCUGGUGGUUAAUACCCAUCAGGAAAGACAUCACUCACAGAAGAAGCACCGGCUAACUCCGUGCCAGCAGCCGCGGUAAUACGGAGGGUGCGAGCGUUAAUCGGAAUUACUGGGCGUAAAGCGCGCGUAGGUGGCUUGAUAAGCCGGUUGUGAAAGCCCCGGGCUCAACCUGGGAACGGCAUCCGGAACUGUCAAGCUAGAGUGCAGGAGAGGAAGGUAGAAUUCCCGGUGUAGCGGUGAAAUGCGUAGAGAUCGGGAGGAAUACCAGUGGCGAAGGCGGUCUUCUGGACUGACACUGACACUGAGGUGCGAAAGCGUGGGUAGCAAACAGGAUUAGAUACCCUAGUAGUC
This 465-nucleotide ribosomal RNA is filed under the name Vreelandella stevensii. Its description in RNAcentral is "partial 16S ribosomal RNA". It matches the Rfam family "Bacterial small subunit ribosomal RNA", at positions 338 to 795 of the family's 1533-position model. The record is from RNAcentral. Lineage: Bacteria; Pseudomonadati; Pseudomonadota; Gammaproteobacteria; Oceanospirillales; Halomonadaceae.